GAAUUGCGUUAGGGAUGGGAAUGAAAAUAAAGAGCGCUGGCACUGUAGUAUUGCCCUAACGAGGAAGCGACCAACGGAAGCUCCCGCAGUAGGAGCAAUACUACAGUGCCAGCGCUCUUUAUUGUAAUGUACAGCCCGUAAUACG
RNAcentral lists this unclassified non-coding RNA (145 nucleotides) under Flavobacterium succinicans. RNAcentral describes it as "Flavo-1 RNA". Lineage: Bacteria; Pseudomonadati; Bacteroidota; Flavobacteriia; Flavobacteriales; Flavobacteriaceae. The record is from RNAcentral.